AGAACUGAGAAUCUGAAGAGUCGAAUGACGGGGUAACGCCCUGAAAGGCUCGCCUAAGGCUCCGAAGUGCGUUCACUAUUGUAUGAUAGUGAGGGUUCUAAGCUCGGUGAAGAACUGCUGAAAGGUAUCCUAACGAGAAAGACGAGGAAAUCUCUCUGGAGGCAGAGGGUAUACCUGAUAGGUAUGGGUUCUAUAAA
RNAcentral lists this non-coding RNA (197 nucleotides) under Bacillus tuaregi. Lineage: Bacteria; Bacillati; Bacillota; Bacilli; Caryophanales; Bacillaceae. The record is from RNAcentral.